Molecule: ribosomal RNA, 475 nt
Filed under: uncultured bacterium
Lineage: Bacteria
Description: bacterial SSU rRNA
Rfam family: Bacterial small subunit ribosomal RNA
Source: RNAcentral
UCAGUCGACUCCGUACGGGAGGCAGCAGUGGGGAAUAUUGCACAAUGGGGGAAACCCUGAUGCAGCCAUGCCGCGUGUGUGAAGAAGGCCUUCGGGUUGUAAAGCACUUUCAGUAGGGAGGAAGGUAGUGUAGUUAACACCUGCACUAUUUGACGUUACCUACAGAAGAAGCACCGGCUAACUCCGUGCCAGCAGCCGCGGUAAUACGGAGGGUGCGAGCGUUAAUCGGAAUUACUGGGCGUAAAGCGCAUGCAGGCGGCCUGUUAAGUCAGAUGUGAAAGCCCGGGGCUUAACCUCGGAAUUGCAUUUGAAACUGGCAGGCUAGAGUCUUGUAGAGGGGGGUAGGAAUUUCAGGUGUAGCGGUGAAAUGCGUAGAGAUCUGAAGGAAUACCAGUGGCGAAGGCGGCCCCCUGGACAAAGACUGACGCUCAGAUGCGAAAGCGUGGGGAGCAAACAGGAUUAGAUACCCUGGUAG